This 460-nucleotide long non-coding RNA is filed under the name Rattus norvegicus (Norway rat). Its description in RNAcentral is "long non-coding RNA NONRATT028981". Lineage: Eukaryota; Metazoa; Chordata; Mammalia; Rodentia; Muridae. The record is from RNAcentral.
CGGCCGCUGAGGAGGAGGAGGAGCGGGCCGCGGGGGCUACGCUGCCUUGGAAACCCUUAUAAAUCCAUGAAGACCUUUCAGUAGCUACAAGAAAAGUCCUGGAGAUAAGUUCUCAGCUUCAUUUAGGUUACAUGCCUGUCUUCAAAGCAAUCACUGGUACUACCCUGCUAGAGUUUGGUAGGAAAAAUAUCUACUUACUGAAGCUUUCUUGACAUAGAAAGAGAUGUGGGGGGAUUCUCGAUCUGCUAACAGAACAGGACCUUUUCGUGGGAGCCAAGAAGAAAGGUUUGCUCCCGGGUGGAACAGGGACUAUCCUCCUCCUCCCCUUAAGAGCCAUGCUCAAGAGAGACACCCGGGCAACUUUCCUGGCAGAGAUUCACUUCCCUUUGAUUUCCAGGGGCAUUCAGGACCUCCCUUUGCAAAUGUAGAGGAGCAUUCUUUCAGCUAUGGAGCUAGAGAU